UUCGAAAUUACUAAAAUUAGAGUAGCUCAUUCGUAAUGAGCAAGUCAGGGGUUCGAGCCCCCUUAUCGGCU
This 71-nucleotide transfer RNA is filed under the name Lachnospiraceae bacterium. Its description in RNAcentral is "tRNA-Thr". It matches the Rfam family "tRNA". Rfam says of the family: Transfer RNA (tRNA) molecules are approximately 80 nucleotides in length. Their secondary structure includes four short double-helical elements and three loops (D, anti-codon, and T loops). The record is from RNAcentral. Lineage: Bacteria; Bacillati; Bacillota; Clostridia; Lachnospirales; Lachnospiraceae.